RNAcentral lists this transfer RNA (84 nucleotides) under Echinicola strongylocentroti. RNAcentral describes it as "tRNA-Thr". It matches the Rfam family "tRNA". Rfam says of the family: Transfer RNA (tRNA) molecules are approximately 80 nucleotides in length. Their secondary structure includes four short double-helical elements and three loops (D, anti-codon, and T loops). Lineage: Bacteria; Pseudomonadati; Bacteroidota; Cytophagia; Cytophagales; Cyclobacteriaceae. The record is from RNAcentral.
GCCUCCUUAUCCCGAUAGCUAUCGGGAUGGUAGAGCAACUGACUUGUAAUCAGUAGGUCGUUGGUUCGAUCCCGACAGGAGGCU